AAAUGUUAAUAGUUUCACUAUAUUUCUAUAAUCAUAUUUUUUCCUAAAGUCCUUUAAAAGUAGAUAAUUCAUGAUUCUUUUUUGUCGUGCUAUAAUUGAAAUCUGGCAUACUUUAAUACUUUAUAAGUUUAUAUUAUGUAUUUCAUUUAAGUAGUUUUAAUUUUUUAUAUAUUUUUAAUACAAAUCAGGUUGGAUUAGUGAACCAAAUCUUUGGUUAAAUCGAUCUCCAUGUAAAUUUUUUUAAUAAUCUCAUUUUAGGCUAUUACUUAGUUACGGUGCAUCGCUUGCAAUAUUGAUAGUGGCUUCCAUACUGAAAAUUAUUUUUUUCUAAUUGUCAAAAUGACUUGAGUCAUGUAACUUGUUCAUUAUAGAUUGGGUCAAAUCAAGUUGAAAAUAACAUAUUUAACCUAUCAAAAAAUUCCAGGUAAAAACAUAAUACAUAAUCAAUUUCAUUAAAUUUAUGCCCCCUCUUUAUCAAUAAAUUAUUUGUAAUACACCUUUAAUUAAUUAAUAAUCACUAACGUGUAUAAAACUAUUACAACAUAUAUUAAAAUUCCCAAGCCAAACCCGAUUGGCACUACUGCAAGUAUUUACCUAACUUGACUGGUCAUGUAACCUGUCUAGAGCCAAAUGAAGUUGACAAUAGCAUAUUUAACCCAUUCAAAAAUGUUAAGUACAAAUAGAACAUAUAAUAGUCUAUAUAUGUAGUUGCAAUCUUAUUACUCCUAACAUUUAUUAGGUAUAUGUAAUAUCUAUUUCUAAAAAAAUUCAAAUGCAUAGUUAGUGAUGUAAUAUUAUUGUCACAAAAAAUACAAUCAAUUUGCAACGAUACUAACUUGUCACAAAAAUAAACUAUAAAUAAUUAGCAAUGAAAACUAUUAGUUAUACAAUGAUGUAUAGGUGGCAAAAUUUAUUUCAUCAACAAAUAGUCAGUAUUAUGCAACAAAACUAUAAAUAUUGCCAAAUAAGUUCUAUUUAUUCAGAAAUUAUUGUCCUUACAAGGUACCGCCCUUAGCAACAUCCAUAAAUAACCUUUACAAUGUUAUAGACCUUUUGCGAUAAUUUUUAAAACUGUUACUAUAGAAUAUAAUUUCUUGUAGUGGUUAUAAAGUGCCAUUGCUA
This 1122-nucleotide long non-coding RNA is filed under the name Phoenix dactylifera (date palm). RNAcentral describes it as "long non-coding RNA (PDAC_LNC014177)". Lineage: Eukaryota; Viridiplantae; Streptophyta; Magnoliopsida; Arecales; Arecaceae. The record is from RNAcentral.